This 253-nucleotide ribosomal RNA is filed under the name uncultured bacterium. RNAcentral's name for it is "partial 16S ribosomal RNA". It matches the Rfam family "Bacterial small subunit ribosomal RNA", at positions 524 to 776 of the family's 1533-position model. The record is from RNAcentral.
UACGUAGGGGGCGAGCGUUGUCCGGAGUUACUGGGCGUAAAGGGCGUGCAGGCGGUGCGGUAAGUUUAGAGUGACAGUCUUCGGCUUAACUGGAGAAGGCCUCUGAAAACUGCCGGACUUGAGGGCCGGAGAGGGACAUAGAAUUCCGGGUGGAGUGGUGAAAUGCGUAGAUAUCCGGAGGAAUACCAAAGGCGAAGGCAGUGUCCUGGCUGGCAUCUGACGCUGAGGCGCGAAAGCUAGGGGAGCGAACAGG